CCUACGGGCGGCUGCAGUGAGGAAUAUUGGUCAAUGCACGAGAGUCUGAACCAGCCAAGUAGCGUGAAGGAUGACUGCCCUAUGGGUUGUAAACUUCUUUUAUAUGGGAAUAAAACGUUCCACGUGUGGGAUUUUGUAUGUACCAUAUGAAUAAGGAUCGGCUAACUCCGUGCCAGCAGCCGCGGUAAUACGGAGGAUCCGAGCGUUAUCCGGAUUUAUUGGGUUUAAAGGGAGCGUAGGUGGAUUGUUAAGUCAGUUGUGAAAGUUUGCGGCUCAACCGUAAAAUUGCAGUUGAAACUGGCAGUCUUGAGUACAGUAGAGGUGGGCGGAAUUCGUGGUGUAGCGGUGAAAUGCUUAGAUAUCACGAAGAACUCCGAUUGCGAAGGCAGUUCACUGGACUGCAACUGACACUGAGGCUCGAAAGUGUGGGUAUCAAACAGGAUUAGAUACCCCUGUAGUC
Molecule: ribosomal RNA, 460 nt
Filed under: uncultured bacterium
Lineage: Bacteria
Description: partial 16S ribosomal RNA
Rfam family: Bacterial small subunit ribosomal RNA
Source: RNAcentral